UACGAAGGGACCUAGCGUAGUUCGGAAUUACUGGGCUUAAAGAGUUCGUAGGUGGUUGAAAAAGUUGGUGGUGAAAUCCCAGAGCUUAACUCUGGAACUGCCAUCAAAACUUUUCAGCUAGAGUAUGAUAGAGGAAAGCAGAAUUUCUAGUGUAGAGGUGAAAUUCGUAGAUAUUAGAAAGAAUACCAAUUGCGAAGGCAGCUUUCUGGAUCAUAACUGACACUGAGGAACGAAAGCAUGGGUAGCGAAGAGG
RNAcentral lists this ribosomal RNA (253 nucleotides) under uncultured Pelagibacterales bacterium. RNAcentral's name for it is "partial 16S ribosomal RNA". It matches the Rfam family "Bacterial small subunit ribosomal RNA", at positions 524 to 776 of the family's 1533-position model. The record is from RNAcentral. Lineage: Bacteria; Pseudomonadati; Pseudomonadota; Alphaproteobacteria; Candidatus Pelagibacterales.